CCUACGGGGGGCAGCAAUUAGGAAUCUUGCGCAAUGGGGGCAACCCUGACGCAGCGACGCCGCGUGAAGGAUGACGGCCUUCGGGUUGUAAACUUCUUUUAAGAGGGAAGAACCGGGCUCUUGCCCAUUGACGGUACCUCUUGAAUAAGCCCCGGCUAACUACGUGCCAGCAGCCGCGGUAAUACGUAGGGGGCGAGCGUUGUCCGAAGUUACUGGGCGUAAAGCGCGCGUAGGCGGGUCUUUAAGUCUGGUGUGAAAGGUUCAGGGCUCAACCCGAACAGUGCACUGGAGACUGAAGGCCUUGAGUUAGGGAGAGGAGAGUGGAAUUCCUGGUGUAGCGGUGAAAUGCGUAGAUAUCAGGAGGAACACCGAUGGCGAAGGCAGCUCUCUGGCCCUGUACUGACGCUGAGGUGCGAAAGCGUGGGGAGCGAACGGGAUUA
RNAcentral lists this ribosomal RNA (440 nucleotides) under uncultured bacterium. RNAcentral describes it as "bacterial SSU rRNA". It matches the Rfam family "Bacterial small subunit ribosomal RNA", at positions 338 to 780 of the family's 1533-position model. The record is from RNAcentral.